RNAcentral lists this ribosomal RNA (505 nucleotides) under uncultured bacterium. RNAcentral describes it as "bacterial SSU rRNA". It matches the Rfam family "Bacterial small subunit ribosomal RNA", at positions 29 to 524 of the family's 1533-position model. The record is from RNAcentral.
AGCGAACGUUAGCGGCGGGCUUAACACAUGCAAGUCGAGCGAGAGAGUGACUUCGGUCAUGAGUAAAGCGGCAGACGGGUGAGGAACACGUAGGUAAUUUUCCGUUUAGUGGGGGACAACGGUCCGAAAGGACCGCUAAUACCGCAUACGUUUCUUGGGACUUUGGUCUUGGGAAGGAAAGCUGGGCAACUGGCGCUAAAUGAGAAGCCUGCGUCGCAUCAGCUAGUUGGUGGGGUAAUGGCCUACUAAGGCGAAGACGCGUAGCUGGUCUGAGAGGAUGAUCAGCCACACUGGAACUGAGACACGGUCCAGACUCCUACGGGAGGCAGCAGUGGGGAAUAUUGGACAAUGGGCGCAAGCCUGAUCCAGCCACGCCGCGUGAGUGAUGAAGGCCUUCGGGUCGUAAAGCUCUGUGGGGAGAGACGAACCGCUGGGGUAACCCGUUCAGCAUGACGGUAUCUCCUUAGCAAGCACCGGCUAACUUCGUGCCAGCAGCCGCGGUAAU